Xiphophorus couchianus (Monterrey platyfish) is the source of this 488-nucleotide long non-coding RNA. RefSeq lists it as uncharacterized. The record is from RefSeq and is a predicted model, not a curated record. The transcript has 4 exons. NCBI's taxonomy places the organism in Eukaryota, Metazoa, Chordata, Actinopteri, Cyprinodontiformes, Poeciliidae.
UCACAUCCUAGCUAACAUUAAUAUGCAGUUUAUCUAGCUACGUCAUCAAGCGUGGCUUCGCUUCCAACCAGCUUUUUCUCUCCAAGUGCAGCUCUGUCUCCGUGCUGUGGGCUCACACUGCUUCAGCUCUUCAAGACAGAUGACUUUUUUUUAACUCCCAAGCUUUUUCCCUCCAAGUGGCUGUGCAGUUCUGUCCUGCUGACUGCUAACAUAGCUUCAUCUCUUCAAAAGACAAGACAACAGGUAUCUUCCACCAAGAUGUCUGUUGAAAUGGAAAUGACCUUACCCACUACACCAAGGGUAAUCAUGCUUGGAAAUAGCUUGAUGUCUGCAACCCGGUGGAUGGUCAGUAUGGAGGAGAAGGUAUUUUUCGAGCCUGAGCAACUACAUGACUUUGCCAGCGUCCUUGCUGUCUUUUUUGGGUCAUAUUAUGUCUUCAAUCUGGAGUAUCAGGAGUCAGCAUCCACCACGCUGGAGAUGAUACAACG